UGGAAGAGCUGAAACACCGGUGAAUCUCUGGGCACACAAGAAGAGGUUCUGAUGCCACCUUGGGAAGGGGUACAGGGGUACAGACUGGUGGCAACCACAGUGGCAAGGAUGACAUUAAUAUGAAGGCUUCAAGUUGCUGCAAUCAUUCAUUGAGGCAACAGUACAAAGCUGCCAAUUAGAAAGCAAGACUUUUCUCAGUAGCAAAAGAAAAUGAAAAAUUCAAGGGUAGAUCUGAAGAUUACAAGGACCUUGAAAAUCCUACAGAAAUUUUCAGGUCAGCCCCAGAGGUGCAGAGCUUCAAAGAGUCCAGAGCAAUGCUGGAAUACAAUGCUGGAGUAUUUUCUGAAGUUUAUAAUGUAUAUCACUGCUCAUAGGCUAAAUUAGGAGAUUUCUGCAGUAACCUUUGUUGCCAUGGGAAGGAUUGCCAGACUUGGGGUUUAGGUUGCAAGUCAAGAGGCAGUGGGGGGCAAAGGAAGAACAGUGUCUSUCUCCUCUCUGAAGCACCAGGUCCUGGUGGUGGCAGAUGGCUGGAUGCUGGGAUCAAAGAAAUUAUGUUCUCUUUCACUGUGAUAAUUGCAACACUCCUUGCUGAUUUCCGUGUUUAUGAUCAUGGGUGAAUUUGAUAUAUUUCAAUAGAAAAAGGUCCAGAAAAGUGUAUUUUCUGUACAGUAAUCAAGACAACUAUAAUCCUGGCUAAAAUACAYGUGCUCAAGGUUGUAAACAGAGCGAGCCAGUGCAGUGACUGCUGGGCUUGAUGUGUCAUUGCUCUCAGCAGUGAGAUGUUCCUUUGCUGUUGUGGUUGAGUGAGGGGUCUGUGCAGCCCAUCCCUUACUGAGGCAAGAGCUGAGUGUCAUCCAGGUGGAGAGAGCUUCACUUGUGCCUUAAAUAAAGGAUCAGCAGCUGGGAACACUCACCACAGACCAGUGCUUUUUGUCAGCUGGCUAUUUGCAGUUAUCCAGCUUUUUUAAAGCAACUUAUAGGUGUUUUACAGGUCAAUUUUUAUGGCUUGCUUUGAUGUAYGAUGGGGGAGGCUGCACAGGCUGAAUGUUUACUCCCAUAUUUUCUUGGGACAGUAACUAUUUAACAGCUUAACUCUGCAACAAUGUGUAUUUAAUUCCCCCUCCCACCCCAAGG
Molecule: long non-coding RNA, 1134 nt
Organism: Malurus melanocephalus (red-backed fairy wren)
Lineage: Eukaryota; Metazoa; Chordata; Aves; Passeriformes; Maluridae
Exons: 3
Source: RefSeq, a predicted model, not a curated record